Nelumbo nucifera (sacred lotus) is the source of this 1432-nucleotide long non-coding RNA. RefSeq lists it as uncharacterized. The record is from RefSeq and is a predicted model, not a curated record. NCBI's taxonomy places the organism in Eukaryota, Viridiplantae, Streptophyta, Magnoliopsida, Proteales, Nelumbonaceae.
AAAAAUAGGCAUUAGCGGCAGUUUUUUAGCUAGCACAUGGGUGACUGCUGUAGAAAUUUUAAGACUUUGUCGGUGCCACUUAAACCCUGCGAAACCUAGGAUUUUCCCUCUCCCGCUCUUCUAAUUUCUCAGCCUUUCGUAUUCCCACUCUCCUCUCUCUUUCUCUCUCAGUAGACCAGUUUUUCAUCUCUUAUUCCCAAUCUCUCUCUCUCUCUCUCUCAUCGGCAACUGAAUCUCUCUUUGAAGCUUGAGUGCAAUAACAAGUGGGAGACUUUCUUAGAUCUUAAGUUCAUGUUCAUUUCCCAAUGAAAUAGACUUCUCAUAAUCACCUCACAAUCUUAUUGAUUCAAUGAAGGCCCUCUCUCUCUCUCUCCAACAAUCUUCGUUGGAUUUUCUUUUUUCUAAAACAACCUCCUCGUCUCAAGUUCUCACAUCUCACAUCCUUGUUCAUUCAUCACCGACAAAAGAUAAGAUUGGUUUGUAUAUAGUGUUACAUCAUCUACAGGAAAAAACCAGGUUUGAGUGCACAUGCCAAUGAUCCCUAAAAGGUUGUAGAUUCUUUGCUAUCUCUUUUGGAGCAAGUAGAAGAUGUUGUUCCUAAAGAGUUGCGUCACAAGACACCAGUCAGAGUUGGGGCAAUGGUAGGUCUAAGGGCAUUGGGAGGUGAUGCUUCAGAUAGAAUUUUUCAAGUGGUCAGGGAUUUUCUUGAAGACAAAAGUUCUUUGAAGUCAAAACCAGAGUGGGCUUUCUAUGAUUUGAUGAUGUGGGAGAAGAAAUGUGGUAUGUUACUGGAUGGAAUAGCAUAGAUACAGCAAGGACGACUCCAUUACCACCAUAAAGAAGGAUUAGAGACCCAGAUUUUUUUGUCACUCUCUUACAGGGAAUUUAUACUAUUUAUGUUGAGAAGCUAUGCAGAGGUGGAAAUCUAUUGGAUGUUGCAAGAUUACUACAUCAUCUACGCAAUAAGUAGUUAUUCUUGAGUGCAAAUUCAUAUAAUGCCCUCUUGAUGGCCACUGGUGAAGGGAAUUAUUUUGAGCUUCUGUUUCAAAUAUUUAAGGAUUUCUUGGUCUCCUGUCAAACUUUGAGUUCAAUUUCAUAUUUUAAUCUUGCUAAUGGCCUUUCAAAGGCAACAGAUUCUAUGCUUUUACUUAAGUUCAUAAGAGAAGUAUUAGAAAUAACAUUUCCAAGAAGUGCAACGAUCAUACACGAUCAUUUAUGGCUUCGUUGAAUACAAGCAUAUUGACAAAGUGCUCUUGAUAUCUAGACAGGAUUUUGGGAGCUUGAGGAAUUCUACUUUUCUCUCAUAUCCAAAGAGGAGAAGUUCUCUCUCAUAUCCAGACAAGAUUUUGAGAGAAGUCGAAAAGAAGAUUUUGUAAAUGACGUAAUUUGUAUUUUUAAGAAUGAAUGAAUGAAUGGAGAAUAAAUUUUUUUA